AGAGUUUGAUCCUGGCUCAGGACGAACGCUGGCGGCGUGCUUAACACAUGCAAGUGGAGCGAUGAAGUUUCUUCGGAAAUGGAUUAGCGGCGAACGGGUGAGGAACACGUGAAGAAUCUGCCCUCCACUUUGGGAUAACACCGGGAAACCGGUGCUAAUACCGAAUAUUGAAACAUAAGUGGCAUCACUGAGUUUUGAAAGAAUUUCGGUGGAGGAUGACUUCGCGGCCUAUCAGCUAGUUGGUGAGGUAAUGGCUCACCAAGGCAACGACGGGUAGCCGGCCUGAGAGGGCGACCGGCCACACUGGGACUGAGACACGGCCCAGACUCCUACGGGAGGCAGCAGUGGGGAAUAUUGGGCAAUGGAGGAAACUCUGACCCAGCGACGCCGCGUGCGGGAUGAAGGCCUUCGGGUUGUAAACCGCUUUCAGUAGGGAAGAAGCGAAAGUGACGGUACCUACAAAAGAAGCACCGGCUAACUAUGUGCCAGCAGCCGCGGUAAUACAUAGGGUGCAAGCGUUGUCCGGAAUUAUUGGGCGUAAAGAGCUCGUAGGUUGUUUGUUACGUCGGAUGUGAAAACCUGAGGCUCAACCUCAGGCCUGCAUUCGAUACGGGCAAACUAGAGUUUGGUAGGGGAGACUGGAAUUCCUGGUGUAGCGGUGGAAUGCGCAGAUAUCAGGAGGAACACCAAUGGCGAAGGCAGGUCUCUGGGCCAAUACUGACACUGAGGAGCGAAAGUCUGGGGAGCGAACAGGAUUAGAUACCCUGGUAGUCCAGACCGUAAACGGUGGGCACUAGUUGUGGGGACCUUCCACGGUCUCUGCGACGCAGCUAACGCAUUAAGUGCCCCGCCUGGGGAGUACGAUCGCAAGAUUAAAAAUCAAAUGAAUU
Molecule: ribosomal RNA, 890 nt
Filed under: uncultured Actinomycetales bacterium
Lineage: Bacteria; Bacillati; Actinomycetota; Actinomycetes; Actinomycetales
Description: bacterial SSU rRNA
Rfam family: Bacterial small subunit ribosomal RNA
Source: RNAcentral